AGACCUAUGGUGUAAUGGUAACACUCCGGUUUUUGGUACCGUCAUUCGGGGUUCGAGUCCCUGUGGGUCUA
RNAcentral lists this transfer RNA (71 nucleotides) under Chryseobacterium sp. Leaf404. It matches the Rfam family "tRNA". From Rfam's summary of the family: Transfer RNA (tRNA) molecules are approximately 80 nucleotides in length. Their secondary structure includes four short double-helical elements and three loops (D, anti-codon, and T loops). The record is from Rfam by way of RNAcentral. Lineage: Bacteria; Pseudomonadati; Bacteroidota; Flavobacteriia; Flavobacteriales; Weeksellaceae.